Molecule: ribosomal RNA, 383 nt
Filed under: Strombidiidae sp.
Lineage: Eukaryota; Ciliophora; Spirotrichea; Strombidiidae
Description: partial small subunit ribosomal RNA
Rfam family: Eukaryotic small subunit ribosomal RNA
Source: RNAcentral
AUUCCAGCUCCAAUAGCGUAUAUUAAAGUUGUUGCAGUUAAAAAGCUCGUAGUUGGAUUUCUGGGAGGGUGCCAAUGUCCGUCGUCGUACGUGUUGCAGUGGCGCCCUUCCAUCCUUCUGCUAACGACUUUGGGCAUUCACUUGCCGGAGUCGGGCUCAGAUAUUUUACCUUGAGAAAAUUAGAGUGUUUCAGGCAGGCUAGGCCGGAAUACAUUAGCAUGGAAUAAUGGAAUAGGACUACGGUCUCUUUGUUGGUUUGAGGGACUGCAGUAAUGAUUAAUAGGGAUAGUUGGGGGCAUUAGUAUUUAAUUGUCAGAGGUGGAAUUCUCGGAUUUGUUAAAGACUAACUUAUGCGAAAGCAUUUGCCAAGGAUGUUUUCAUCA